This 372-nucleotide long non-coding RNA is filed under the name Citrus x clementina. RNAcentral describes it as "Citrus clementina (C. clementina) long non-coding RNA (CCLE_LNC001393)". Lineage: Eukaryota; Viridiplantae; Streptophyta; Magnoliopsida; Sapindales; Rutaceae. The record is from RNAcentral.
CUUCUGGAAAUCUGUAUUAUUUCUAUUGUUCAGCUUAAUCAAUUACAAGAAAUACAAUCUCUAUUUAUACAUCUCUAAAACGCCACACACACAUUACUAAUUGAUAACUAAUUAUUAACUAAUUACAAGCUGAACUUCAACACACAGCACACAGUUGCUUCGUAACAAACUUUAACGACUUGUGCUGAGCUGUCAUCCUGCUUACUGGCUUCUGACGUCACAAUUAUGUUUCCUUUCUUUAGCUUAAAAUUCUCCUCCUCCUUCUUCCGUAUCAAAUGAGCUUCCUUAACAAGUAAGCUAGAGCUUUGCCGGUUAAUUCCAAAAUUGACUGUCGGAGAAAGUCUUCUUUAUGGCUUCCAAUAAACAUGAACC